UACGGUAGGGGGCAAGCGUUGUCCGGAAUCAUUGGGCGUAAAGAGCGUGUAGGCGGCCUGGUAAGUCCGCUGUGAAAGUCCAGGGCUCAACCCUGGAAUGCCGGUGGAAACUGUCAGGCUCGAGUCCGGAAGAGGCGAGUGGAAUUCCUGGUGUAGCGGUGAAAUGCGCAGAUAUCAGGAGGAACACCGGUGGCGAAGGCGGGUCUCUGGGCAGUAACUGACGCUGAGGAGCGAAAGCGUGGGGAGCGAACGGG
RNAcentral lists this ribosomal RNA (254 nucleotides) under uncultured bacterium. RNAcentral's name for it is "partial 16S ribosomal RNA". It matches the Rfam family "Bacterial small subunit ribosomal RNA", at positions 524 to 776 of the family's 1533-position model. The record is from RNAcentral.